RNAcentral lists this ribosomal RNA (465 nucleotides) under uncultured bacterium. RNAcentral's name for it is "partial 16S ribosomal RNA". It matches the Rfam family "Bacterial small subunit ribosomal RNA", at positions 28 to 507 of the family's 1533-position model. The record is from RNAcentral.
GACGAACGCUGGCGGCGUGCUUAACACAUGCAAGUCGAACGGAAAGGCCCUGCUUGCAGGGUACUCGAGUGGCGAACGGGUGAGUAACACGUGGGUGAUCUGCCCUGCACUUCGGGAUAAGCCUGGGAAACUGGGUCUAAUACCGGAUAGGAGCCAUUUUUAGUGUGAUGGUUGGAAAGUUUUUUCGGUGUAGGAUGAGCUCGCGGCCUAUCAGCUUGUUGGUGGGGUAAUGGCCUACCAAGGCGGCGACGGGUAGCCGGCCUGAGAGGGUGGACGGCCACAUUGGGACUGAGAUACGGCCCAGACUCCUACGGGAGGCAGCAGUGGGGAAUAUUGCACAAUGGGCGCAAGCCUGAUGCAGCGACGCCGCGUGGGGGAUGAAGGCCUUCGGGUUGUAAACUCCUUUCGCUAGGGACGAAGCUUUUUGUGUCGGUACCUAGAUAAGAAGCACCGGCUAACUACGUG